CACGUAGUUAGCCGGGGCUUUCUUCUCAGGUACCGUCACUCCGAUAGCAGUUACUCUAUCGGACGUUCUUCCCUGGCAGCAGAGCUUUACGAUCCGAAAACCUUCAUCACUCACGCGGCGUUGCUCCGUCAGACUUGCGCCCAUUGCGGAAGAUUCCCUACUGCUGCCUCCCGUAGGAGUCUGGGCCGUGUCUCAGUCCCAGUGUGGCCGAUCACCUCUCAGGUCGGCUACGCAUCGUCGCCUUGGUGAGCCGUUACCUCACCAACUAGCUAAUGCGCCGCAGGCCCAUCCUCAAGUGACAGAUUGCUCCGUCUUUCCAAAUUCGUUCAGGCGAACAAAUCAUGUAUUCGGUAUUAGCUACGUUUCGUAGUUGUCCAAGCUUGAGGGCAGGUUGCCUAGUGUUACUCACCGUCCGCCGCUAAGCAUCAAAGAAGCAAGCUUCUCAUCCAACUCCGCUCGACUUGCAUGUAUUAGCUACGCCGCCACG
This 487-nucleotide ribosomal RNA is filed under the name uncultured Paenibacillaceae bacterium. RNAcentral describes it as "partial 16S ribosomal RNA". Lineage: Bacteria; Bacillati; Bacillota; Bacilli; Caryophanales; Paenibacillaceae. The record is from RNAcentral.